UAAUAUAUCGGAACGUGCCCAGUCGUGGGGGGAUAACGUAGCGAAAGCUACGCUAAUACCGCAUACGAUCUAUGGAUGAAAGCGGGGGAUCGCAAGACCUCGCGCGAUUGGAGCGGCCGAUAUCAGAUUAGGUAGUUGGUGAGGUAAAGGCUCACCAAGCCGACGAUCUGUAGCUGGUCUGAGAGGACGACCAGCCACACUGGGACUGAGACACGGCCCAGACUCCUACGGGAGGCAGCAGUGGGGAAUUUUGGACAAUGGGCGCAAGCCUGAUCCAGCAAUGCCGCGUGCAGGAUGAAGGCCUUCGGGUUGUAAACUGCUUUUGUACGGAACGAAACGGUGAGCUCUAAUACAGUUUGCUAAUGACGGUACCGUAAGAAUAAGCACCGGCUAACUACGUG
Molecule: ribosomal RNA, 401 nt
Filed under: uncultured bacterium
Lineage: Bacteria
Description: bacterial SSU rRNA
Rfam family: Bacterial small subunit ribosomal RNA
Source: RNAcentral